RNA transcript from Brassica napus (rape), 1082 nucleotides. RefSeq lists it as uncharacterized. The transcript is spliced from 9 exons. The record is from RefSeq and is a predicted model, not a curated record. NCBI's taxonomy places the organism in Eukaryota, Viridiplantae, Streptophyta, Magnoliopsida, Brassicales, Brassicaceae.
CGUGUGGUUUGUUGCUCCGGGAAGAAAACAUCGUCUCACUGACUUACAAUGGCUGUUUCCACCGCCAUAACCGCCGUCGCACACGUAGCAUCUCAUCUAAUCCCUCCACGAACCGCAUUCGCCAUCUCUUCCCAUAGACUCUCUUCACUCUCGCAAUCGAGAAGACUGAACCUCAGUUACCUACAGCGGAGAGCCAACGCACUCUCGCCGAGGCGCGUCGUGGUACGCGCCGCCAGAAUUGAGUCAGGCGGAGUCGAAUUAGGAGCUAGGGCUCCGGAUUUCGAGCUUCCGGAGCCGCUCACCGGGAAUGUAUGGAGAUUAGAUGAUUUCGAGCUGUAUCCAUGUCUACUGGUUAUGUUCAUCUGUAAUCAUUGCCCGUUUGUGAUUCACUUGAAGAAAGACAUUGUAAAGCUCUCCAAUUUCUAUAUGAAGAAAGGUCUUGCUGUUGUUGCAAUAUCUUCGAAUUCUGUAGUAACACAUCCUCAGGAUGGGCCAGAGUUCAUGGCAGAAGAUGCAAAAAUGUUCAAGUACCCGUUUCCUUACUUAUAUGAUGAAUCACAAGAGGUUGCAAAGGAAUUUGGAGCUGUCUGUACCCCUGAGUUUUUCUUAUAUAAGAAGGAUGGUCGUAGGCCAUUUGAACUGGUUUAUCACGGCCAGUUUGAUGAUUCUCGGCCUAGCAAUAACACACCAGUAACUGGGAGAGAUUUAAGCCUCGCAAUUGAUCUUGCACUUAGCUGUCAACCAAUACCAACGAAUCAAAAGCCAAGUGUUGGUUGCAGCAUAAAGUGGCAUCCAGGAACCCAAUCUUGAGCUAAGACAUUGGCUGUGUGUAACAUUAUUUUCAGGCGAGUUGUUUGUUCUAUAUACUCAGGUUUGUUCCACAAUCAAAACUGAAAGGAGAGAAGGCAAGGCAGAAGAAUUUCAAAAGCAUGGCCAGUAAAAUUACUUAUGUAGAAAGUGUAAGUUGUAUUCAUUAUUUGAAGAGAAAUAUACAGUAAUCUACUCCACGGAUUCUAUCUCGUGGGAGGGUUCAUGUGUGAUAUAAAUUCAUGAACAAUAUAUAAGAAUAAGUUUCAGUGUAA